This 2571-nucleotide long non-coding RNA is filed under the name Sus scrofa (pig). Its description in RNAcentral is "lncRNA (ENSSSCG00000052613.1)". Lineage: Eukaryota; Metazoa; Chordata; Mammalia; Artiodactyla; Suidae. The record is from RNAcentral.
UAACGAAAAGGAAAGAGAUAGGGUUAACAAAUGACACUUUAAGCUAUUCAUUUAUAUUUAUUGAAUAACUAUUACUGCUGGUACAGUGCAAGGAAAUUGGUAAAGAGCAGUAAUGAAGGAAGGAAGUUCCUCUAUCUACUAGUAUUUAUAUCAAAUUAAUUAUUUGAUUUAAAUUAUAACAUAGAGAAGGCAAAGAAAGCACGAAGUCAAGUAAUUCAGCAAAGAACAAAGAAAAUAGGUAGAGGUCAGGUCAGGUCAGGCUUUUCAGGCCACAUUCAAGGUAUCCAAUAUAGCUAAAUCACAAUGGAAAGGAAAUGAGGUAACAUAAUCAGAAUUGUCCUUUUAAACAGUUAAAUAUGAUGGGUUAAAGAUAUAUGUUCAUGAUCCUAUUGAAAUGACACUGAAAUGACAAUACAGCAAUAAAAGGCUAUAAAUAUUAUUGGACAAAAAGAAUAGUAGAGGACACAGUAGAUGAUCAAAAAAAAAAAAAAAGAUGUCAAUGGUUUUACAAGAUGGAAGCAGGUGAAGAAGUAAUACCUGCCUUCUUAAGCAGAGGGAGCUUAAUCUUCCAGAGGCAGAUAGCAAAUGUGAAGCUAGUGUUUUGUCUCACAGACCCUCAAAAAAUGAAAAUAUGAGGUACCUUGUACUUAUUCUGCAGAAGAUGGGAGAGGGUGAGAGGCUUAAAGGUGAAGUUAGGAGUUAGUGUAGUUCUUAAGUUGUCUUAAGCUGUCUGCUCAAGACUCCACCCAUACAACUCUUGCAGUCAGGUGAUUACCCUAACUAAUCUUACAAUAAAAAGUUUUUCCCUAGAGAUAGAAAGGCUCCAGACACAAGACAACAGAAUUUCAAGGAGGUGUGAUGUGGGCCCAGAAAAAGGAGGGUUAAGUAAAAGAAGGCAGACUUUAUUACUCCACAUAUCUAAUGAAAGAUUAGAUCAUUCCCCUCUGAUAUUUUGGGGUGCUCCACUUCAAAAUAUUCUGAAUCACUUUUCAACACCUGAGAAAAUCCCACAACAUAAAAAAAUAAACUAAGAACAAAAAAAAAAAAAAAAGGGAGGGGAUACAAAUGAACUUAACGGCAAAACAAAAACAGACUCAGAGACAGAAAACAAACUAUGGAAAGUCAGGAGCUAUACAUUAGGAAUUUGGGGUUAGCAGAUAUAAACUACUAUACAUAAAAAAGAUAAACAACAGGGUCUUACUAUAUAGCACAUUGGACUAUAUUCAAUAUUGUAUAUUAACCUAUAAUGGACAUUCAUAUAGAGAUAAUUUAUGUACAUACAUGUAUAUAUACCUUAUUUUGCUGUAUACCAGAAACUAACACAAUAUUGUAAAUCAACUCCAUGUCAAUUAAAAAAAAAAGACAGUCAAGGAAAUUGUCCCAAAGUUCAACAACAAGGAUAUGGUAUAGAUGGAAAAUAGAAUAGCAAAAAUUAAAGCCUCAAUCCUGCUGGUAAAAAAUCCAACAUAAAGGAGUUCCAGACUCAAAAUAGUAAUAGAAAAAUAGAAGGCAAAGAAUUACUGAAGGAAUAAAUCAAUAGAAUUUUCAAAACUUGAGGUUUUCUCAAAACUGAGUCUCUGAAAUGCUCAUAAUAUCUAUCAAGAUGAAUGAACAAAGUGAACACAAUGGAAAAAGAGACAAUACCAACCCUUCUAGAGUGAUGAAUCAGGCUGAUUAAAAGGAUCAGGAGUCAGACUAGAACCUGACUUCUCAGUAACAAUACCCAUGUAUGCAAGCCAGAGGUCUGGUUAUCAUCAUCACUAGCUGGAAGUGAAUGGCAAGGCCAUUCUCCAAACUAAGGAAUAAAGAAGCAGGCCAAAGCAUGUAGAGGAAGUUAGGAUUGGGCCUUUAUGAGUCUGAGCUACUAGCGAACACAAAAAAAGGUGAUAAAACUUUAAGUAAGUUGAAAUGUAAUAUUUGUCUGUGAUCUUCAUUUUUAGACUGGAGUCACCUGUUCUGAGAUUUCUUCAUUUACUCACCCUGUAUUUGGCUUCAAGUAAUAUUUGAAAUUAUAGUCUCAGGAAUGAUUCUCAAGUUCCCUUUUCCUCAGGGAGAUGUCUACCUAAAAAGAUAACUCCCUUUCCUCCAUAGUCUUUAAAGGGUCAUGGGAAGAGAAAAAGAAAGAACUGGAAGAGGAUUUGAACAAGCAGGGAAAUCAGGAAGUGUUGGAUGUCCAAAAUUACCACUCAAGAGGCUAGUUUAGCUCACACAGAAGUUCUCUUGGGCUCUUCACCCCCAAACCAAUUCCUCCUCUACUCAAUGCAAAGGUCAUUCAGAAGGAAGCUGUGACAAAGCAUUUACAUCCUGCAUGUUUUGACACGUUUUGACAUACAGCCUGCAUGUUUUGACAUCAGUGCUUGCCAUAGCACUUAGCAGAGCAAAUGGUGCUGAGUAAAUGUCAGUCUAACCUGUUCUCCCCGUCUUCACUAUUUCAGCAACUUCUUCAGGGUGUUGAUUGGGAAGUAUAUGAAAAUCUGUAUUGCAUGGUUUGUUAGGCCAUUAUUAGUUAAAAUAUUUGGCAAGGAAAUUUAAAAUUGUAAAUUUAAAUCCUUGUCAUCCUAUCCUUCAUUG